CACGUAGGGGGCAAGCGUUGUCCGGAUUUAUUGGGCGUAAAGAGCUCGUAGGUGGUUCGGUAAGUCGGGUGUGAAACCUCCAGGCUCAACCUGGAGACGCCACCCGAUACUGCCGUGACUAGAGUCCAGUAGGGGAGCGUGGAAUUCCUGGUGUAGCGGGGAAAUGCGCAGAUAUCAGGAGGAACACCAGCGGCGAAGGCGGCGCUCUGGGCUGGCACUGACACUGAGGAGCGAAAGCGUGGGGAGCGAACAGG
Molecule: ribosomal RNA, 254 nt
Filed under: uncultured bacterium
Lineage: Bacteria
Description: partial 16S ribosomal RNA
Rfam family: Bacterial small subunit ribosomal RNA
Source: RNAcentral